GUGCCAGCAGCCGCGGUAAUACGGAGGGUGCGAGCGUUGUCCGGAAUCACUGGGCGUAAAGGGCGCGUAGGUGGCUGGGGUAGUCAACGGUGAAAGCUCGGGGCUCAACCCCGAGUCGGCCGUCGAUACUCCUCGGCUCGAGCUUACUAGAGGCAGAUGGAAUUCCGGGUGUAGCGGUGGAAUGCGUAGAGAUCCGGAAGAACACCGGUGGCGAAGGCGGUCUGCUGGGGUAAGGCUGACACUGAGGCGCGACAGCGUGGGGAGCAAACAGGAUUAGAUACCCGCGUAGUCC
This 292-nucleotide ribosomal RNA is filed under the name uncultured bacterium. RNAcentral's name for it is "partial 16S ribosomal RNA". It matches the Rfam family "Bacterial small subunit ribosomal RNA", at positions 505 to 796 of the family's 1533-position model. The record is from RNAcentral.